CGCUAAUACCGGAUGUGCCGAGAGGUGAAAGAUUUAUUGUCUGAAGAUGAGCUCGCGUCUGAUUAGCUAGUAGGUGAGGUAAUGGCUUACCUAGGCGACGAUCAGUAACUGGUCUGAGAGGAUGACCAGUCACACUGGGACUGAGACACGGCCCAGACUCCUACGGGAGGCAGCAGUGGGGAAUUUUCCGCAAUGGGCGAAAGCCUGACGGAGCAAUACCGCGUGCGGGAGGAAGCUUUUUGGAGUGUAAACCGCUUUUCUCAAGGAAGAUGAUGACGGUACUUGAGGAAUCAGCAUCGGCUAACUUCGUGCCAGCAGCCGCGGUAAUACGAGGGAUGCAAGCGUUAUCCGGAAUUAUUGGGCGUAAAGCGUUCGUAGGUGGCUAAGUAAGUCUGUUGUUAAAGCGUGGAGCUUAACUCCAUAAGGGCGAUGGAAACUGCUUGGCUAGAGUAUGGUAGGGGUAACAGGAAUUCCCAGUGUAGCGGUGAAAUGCGUAGAUAUUGGGAAGAACACCAGCGGCGAAAGCGUGUUACUGGGCCAUUA
Molecule: ribosomal RNA, 543 nt
Filed under: Cyanobacteria bacterium BC1611
Lineage: Bacteria; Bacillati; Cyanobacteriota
Description: bacterial SSU rRNA
Rfam family: Bacterial small subunit ribosomal RNA
Source: RNAcentral